GAUGAAGAACGUAGUGAAAUGCGAUAAGUAAUGUGAAUUGCAGAAUUCCGUGAAUCAUCGAAUCUUUGAACGCACAUUGCGCCCUCUGGUAUUCCGGGGGGCAUGCCUGUCCGAGCGUCAUUACAACCCUCAAGCUCAGCUUGGUGUUGGGCCCCGCCGCCCCGGCGGGCCCUAAAGUCAGUGGCGGUGCCGUCCGGCUCCGAGCGUAGUAAUUCUUCUCGCUCUGGAGGUCCGGUCGCGUGCUCGCCAGCAACCCCCAAUUUUUUCAGGUUGACCUCGGAUCAGGUAGGGAUACCCGCUGAACUUAAGCAUAUCAAUAAGCGGAGGA
This 328-nucleotide unclassified non-coding RNA is filed under the name soil metagenome. Its description in RNAcentral is "partial contains 5.8S ribosomal RNA, internal transcribed spacer 2, and large subunit ribosomal RNA". The stretch from base 1 to 120 matches the Rfam family "5.8S ribosomal RNA", at positions 35 to 154 of the family's 154-position model. The record is from RNAcentral.